AGCAGCCGCGGUAAUUCCAGCUCCAAUAGCGUAUAUUAAAGUUGUUGCAGUUAAAAAGCUCGUAGUUGAAUUUCGGGAUCAAUAUGUUGGUCGUGCCUUUGGUACGUACUAGCUUAUUGAUUUCUCCCUUCUGACGAACCAUGAUGUCAUUAAUUUGGUGUCAUGGGGAAUCAGGACUGUUACUUUGAAAAAAUUAGAGUGUUUAAAGCAGGCUUACGCUUGAAUAUAUUAGCAUGGAAUAAUGAAAUAGGACGUUUUGAUUCUAUUUUGUUGGUUUCUAGGAUCGACGUAAUGAUUAAUAGGGAUAGUUGGGGGCAUUAGUAUUCAAUUGUCAGAGGUGAAAUUCUUGGAUUUAUUGAAGACUAACUACUGCGAAAGCAUUUGCCAAGGAUGUUUUCAUUAAUCAAGAACGAAAGUUAGGGGAUCGAAGACGAUCAGAUACCGUCGUAGUCUUAACCAUAAACUAUGCCGACUAGGGAUCGGAUGAUGUUAAUUUUUUAAUGUACUC
RNAcentral lists this ribosomal RNA (508 nucleotides) under uncultured Glomus. RNAcentral describes it as "SSU rRNA". It matches the Rfam family "Eukaryotic small subunit ribosomal RNA", at positions 569 to 1081 of the family's 1831-position model. The record is from RNAcentral. Lineage: Eukaryota; Fungi; Glomeromycota; Glomeromycetes; Glomerales; Glomeraceae.